RNAcentral lists this ribosomal RNA (460 nucleotides) under uncultured bacterium. RNAcentral's name for it is "partial 16S ribosomal RNA". It matches the Rfam family "Bacterial small subunit ribosomal RNA", at positions 338 to 795 of the family's 1533-position model. The record is from RNAcentral.
CCUACGGGAGGCAGCAGUGAGGAAUAUUGGUCAAUGGACGAGAGUCUGAACCAGCCAAGUAGCGUGAAGGAUGACUGCCCUAUGGGUUGUAAACUUCUUUUAUAUGGGAAUAAAAUGUUCCACGUGUGGGAUUUUGUAUGUACCAUAUGAAUAAGGAUCGGCUAACUCCGUGCCAGCAGCCGCGGUAAUACGGAGGAUCCGAGCGUUAUCCGGAUUUAUUGGGUUUAAAGGGAGCGUAGGUGGAUUGUUAAGUCAGUUGUGAAAGUUUGGGGCUCAACCGUAGAAUUGCAGUUGAAACUGGCAGUCUUGAGUACAGUAGAGGUGGGUGGAAUUCGUGGUGUAGCGGUGAAAUGCUUAGAUAUCACGAAGAACUCCGAUUGCGAAGGCAGUUCACUGGACUGCAACUGACACUGAGGCUCGAAAGUGUGGGUAUCAAACAGGAUUAGAUACCCUAGUAGUC